GGUGACAGCCCCGUACACAAAAGCGCAUGUGCUGUGAGCUCGAUGAGUAGGGCGGGACACGUGGUAUCCUGUCUGAAUAUGGGGGGACCAUCCUCCAAGGCUAAAUACUCCUGACUGACCGAUAGUGAACCAGUACCGUGAGGGAAAGGCGAAAAGAACCCCGGCGAGGGGAGUGAAAAAGAACCUGAAACCGUGUACGUACAAGCAGUGGGAGCACCCUUUGGGGUGUGACUGCGUACCUUUUGUAUAAUGGGUCAGCGACUUAUAUUCUGUAGCAAGGUUAACCGAAUAGGGGAGCCGUAGGGAAACCGAGUCUUAACCGGGCGUUAAGUUGCAGGGUAUAGACCCGAAACCCGGUGAUCUAGCCAUGGGCAGGUUGAAGGUUGGGUAACACUAACUGGAGGACCGAACCGACUAAUGUUGAAAAAUUAGCGGAUGACCUGUGGCUGGGGGUGAAAGGCCAAUCAAACCGGGAGAUAGCUGGUUCUCCCCGAAAGCUAUUUAGGUAGCGCCUCGUGAAUUCAUCUCCGGGGGUAGAGCACUGUUUCGGCUAGGGGGCCAUCCCGGCUUACCAACCCGAUGCAAACUGCGAAUACCGGAGAAUGUUAUCACGGGAGACACACGGCGGGUGCUAACGUCCGUCGUGAAGAGGGAAACAACCCAGACCGCCAGCUAAGGUCCCAAAGUCAUGGUUAAGUGGGAAACGAUGUGGGAAGGCCCAGACAGCCAGGAUGUUGGCUUAGAAGCAGCCAUCAUUUAAAGAAAGCGUAAUAGCUCACUGGUCGAGUCGGCCUGCGCGGAAGAUGUAACGGGGCUAAACCAU
Molecule: ribosomal RNA, 823 nt
Filed under: Salmonella enterica
Lineage: Bacteria; Pseudomonadati; Pseudomonadota; Gammaproteobacteria; Enterobacterales; Enterobacteriaceae
Description: partial 23S ribosomal RNA
Rfam family: Bacterial large subunit ribosomal RNA
Source: RNAcentral